Molecule: unclassified non-coding RNA, 273 nt
Filed under: Coriolopsis gallica
Lineage: Eukaryota; Fungi; Basidiomycota; Agaricomycetes; Polyporales; Polyporaceae
Description: partial internal transcribed spacer region
Rfam family: Eukaryotic small subunit ribosomal RNA (bases 1-46)
Source: RNAcentral
AAGUCGUAACAAGGUUUCCGUAGGUGAACCUGCGGAAGGAUCAUUAUCGAGUUUUGAAACGGGUUGUAGCUGGCCUCUCCGGAGGCAUGUGCACGCUCUGCUCAUCCACUCUACACCUGUGCACUUACUGUGGGUAUUGGAAGGCGUCGCGCCGUUUCUUACGGUGAGGCGUUAACCGUGCCUACGUUUUACUACAAACGCUUCAGUAUCAGAAUGUGUAUUGCGAUGUAACGCAUCUAUAUACAACUUUCAGCAACGGAUCUCUUGGCUCUC